UGGCCUCCUCCUCUUCCUCCUUGGUCUUCAACCGAAAGCAAGGGAGCAAGAAAGAUCUCUUGGCGGUCCUCUUCUUCCUCCUUCGUUUGGGAUUCGACGCAAGGGAAAGCAAAGGUUGCAUCUAGCCUUCUUGUUCUUCUUCAAGAUCCCUUCUUCUUCCUCCUCCACUCAAGCACAAUCAAGGGUUGAUUGAAAGAGAGGAGAUCAGCCAUCAAAGCUAUCUCUGCAAGGGAGCUAGCACCCCGGUGAGAUAGAAAGCUUGGAUCGGAUCCUGCUUCGUGUGGAUACCUGUAGAGGCCGGACGUUUGAACGGCUUCAAGCGAACCCUCUUCCAAAACCACGAAUUCAGAUUUGCGGUGAUCAUCUACCCGCGCAAGGUGAAGAUUUGAUCUUCCUAAUAGUUUUAAAAAGUUUUAAUUCUUA
This 423-nucleotide long non-coding RNA is filed under the name Phoenix dactylifera (date palm). RNAcentral's name for it is "long non-coding RNA (PDAC_LNC023034)". Lineage: Eukaryota; Viridiplantae; Streptophyta; Magnoliopsida; Arecales; Arecaceae. The record is from RNAcentral.